RNAcentral lists this small RNA (523 nucleotides) under Oryza sativa Japonica Group (Japanese rice). RNAcentral's name for it is "sRNA Os02g0220450". The record is from RNAcentral. Lineage: Eukaryota; Viridiplantae; Streptophyta; Magnoliopsida; Poales; Poaceae.
GCGCGGCGGCGUCGCCGGCGGCGGGCGGAGAUGAGUUGUUGCAGGCCUCCUUUUUCUUGAUGAUAAACUUGGUAUUGCCUACUCCUAGAAGAUGUUUGACAAUUGGAGACUGCAGCGCAACUUUUCUCAAAUAUCUAGGCCUUUCUUUGUCCUAAUGAAGAGAAGUUUGCAAGAUUGGAAAAAAGAAGUGAUUCUUGGCAAUGCCUGUUGUGUAUAGAACAUUUUAUUCACUUGGGUGCCACUGAUAAGCCUAAUUCACCAUGAACACCUCUCAGUUGGGUUUUUGUACUUUAGCCUGCACUCUGGUAUGAACACCUCAGCUUCUUCACUCAAGAUUACUAUUUAGAUUUUAUUUUCUGACUCCUUUUUAUUUCCCUUUCCUCAUUUCUACCCCUGGUUUUACCAUGAUUCUGUUAACUGAGUAUUUAGAGCUAACAGAGAAUCAUUUUUUGCUGGAGUAUUUGGGAACAUUUUAUGUUUAGCAACAGUACAUCUUCUGAUAUUCUUCAUGAAAUUCAUUGCU